RNAcentral lists this ribosomal RNA (431 nucleotides) under uncultured bacterium. RNAcentral's name for it is "bacterial SSU rRNA". It matches the Rfam family "Bacterial small subunit ribosomal RNA", at positions 30 to 464 of the family's 1533-position model. The record is from RNAcentral.
AUUGAACGCUGGCGGCAUGCCUUACACAUGCAAGUCGAACGGCAGCGGACCUUCGGGUGCCGGCGAGUGGCGAACGGGUGAGUAAUAUAUCGGAACGUACCUUUCAGUGGGGGAUAACGUAGCGAAAGUUACGCUAAUACCGCAUAUUCUGUGAGCAGGAAAGCAGGGGAUCGCAAGACCUUGCGCUGAUUGAGCGGCCGAUAUCAGAUUAGCUAGUUGGUGAGGUAACGGCUCACCAAGGCGACGAUCCGUAGCUGGUCUGAGAGGACGACCAGCCACACUGGAACUGAGACACGGUCCAGACUCCUACGGGAGGCAGCAGUGGGGAAUUUUGGACAAUGGGGGCAACCCUGAUCCAGCCAUUCCGCGUGAGUGAAGAAGGCCUCGGUUGUAAGUACUCUUCGGUCAGGACGAAACGGUAGAGGGCGUAA